This 516-nucleotide ribosomal RNA is filed under the name uncultured Thermococcus sp. RNAcentral's name for it is "bacterial SSU rRNA". It matches the Rfam family "Archaeal small subunit ribosomal RNA", at positions 339 to 856 of the family's 1478-position model. The record is from RNAcentral. Lineage: Archaea; Methanobacteriati; Methanobacteriota; Thermococci; Thermococcales; Thermococcaceae.
GCGCGAAACCUCCGCAAUGCGGGAAACCGCGACGGGGGGACCCCGAGUGCCGUGGCAACGCCACGGCUUUUCCGGAGUGUAAAAAGCUCCGGGAAUAAGGGCUGGGCAAGGCCGGUGGCAGCCGCCGCGGUAAUACCGGCGGCCCGAGUGGUGGCCGCUAUUAUUGGGCCUAAAGCGUCCGUAGCCGGGCCCGUAAGUCCCUGGCGAAAUCCCACGGCUCAACCGUGGGGCUUGCUGGGGAUACUGCGGGUCUUGGGACCGGGAGAGGCGGGGGGUACCCCUGGGGUAGGGGUGAAAUCCUAUAAUCCCAGGGGGACCGCCAGUGGCGAAGGCGCCCCGCUGGAACGGGUCCGACGGUGAGGGACGAAGGCCAGGGGAGCAAACCGGAUUAGAUACCCGGGUAGUCCUGGCUGUAAAGGAUGCGGGCUAGGUGUCAGGUGAGCCUCGAGCUCGCCCGGUGCCGUAGGGAAGCCGUUAAGCCCGCCGCCUGGGGAGUACGGCCGCAAGGCUGAAACU